ACCCACCAACACAAAAAUUGUGCAUGUUCCUGAAUCCUAUCCUGUCAGCUCCCCUCCAUUCAUCAGAGGAAGCAAAAAUGAUGCUGUGGCUAAAUUUGGUAUUCUUACUUGCAUCCCUCGGAGGAGUCCAGUCUCAAGUCCAGAUGGUGGAGUCUGGAGGGGAUGUGAGAAGACCUGGAGGGUCCCUCCGUCUCUCCUGCCAAGCCUCUGGAUUCACCUUCAGCAGCCAUUGGAUGGAUUGGGUGAGACAGGCUCCAGGGAAAGGACUGGAAUGGGUGGCCCGCAUAAGUAAUGGCUCCCCUCCUUCCACUUACUACUCAGACAAAGUGAAGGGACGCUUCACCAUCUCCAGGGACGAUACCAAAAGCCAGCUGUAUCUGCAAAUGAACAGCCUGAAACAAGAGGACACGGCUGUCUAUUACUGUGUGAGAGACACAGUGAGAGGAAGUAAAUCUGAAUCCAGUCAAGAACUUUAUUUAUCUGUGAGCAGCUCUCAAACUAAGAAAAAGCACUCAUACACAGAUAGGCACAUAAUUUGUUAA
This is a non-coding RNA of Protobothrops mucrosquamatus (brown spotted pit viper), 542 nucleotides long. Lineage: Eukaryota; Metazoa; Chordata; Lepidosauria; Squamata; Viperidae. The record is from the annotation of a RefSeq genome assembly.